Molecule: long non-coding RNA, 198 nt
Organism: Drosophila grimshawi
Lineage: Eukaryota; Metazoa; Arthropoda; Insecta; Diptera; Drosophilidae
Exons: 3
Source: RefSeq, a predicted model, not a curated record
CGUUGUUGUUGCAGUUGUUGCAGUUGCAGUUGCAGUUGCAGUUCCGUAACGUGGCCAGAACGUUGCGCGGGCAAUUAUUAUUUUGUAAGACGUUUUACAAUUUAAUGGUUUUCAUGAAUGGACUGGGAUCCGACCCUCUGUCAGCAAAGGAGGCAGAGGGCCCUCCGGUUCAAGUUGAACCAGUUGAUUUGAGUUUGC